ACAGAGGGUGCGAGCGUUGUCCGGAAUCACUGGGCGUAAAGGGCGCGUAGGUGGCCCGACCAGUCACUGGUGAAAGCUCGACGCUCAACGUCGAGUCGGCCAGUGAUACUGUUGGGCUGGAGCACUGUAGAGGCAGAUGGAAUUCCGGGUGUAGCGGUGGAAUGCGUAGAGAUCCGGAAGAACACCGGUGGCGAAGGCGGUCUGCUGGGCAGUAGCUGACACUGAGGCGCGACAGCGUGGGGAGCAAACAGGA
This 253-nucleotide ribosomal RNA is filed under the name uncultured prokaryote. Its description in RNAcentral is "partial 16S ribosomal RNA". It matches the Rfam family "Bacterial small subunit ribosomal RNA", at positions 525 to 777 of the family's 1533-position model. The record is from RNAcentral.